This 393-nucleotide ribosomal RNA is filed under the name uncultured bacterium. RNAcentral describes it as "partial 16S ribosomal RNA". It matches the Rfam family "Bacterial small subunit ribosomal RNA", at positions 523 to 918 of the family's 1533-position model. The record is from RNAcentral.
AUACGGAGGAUGCGAGCGUUAUCCGGAUUUAUUGGGCUUAAAGGGAGCGUAGGUGGGAUAUUAAGUCAGCUGUGAAAGUUUGGGGCUCAACCUUAAAAUUGCAGUGGAUACUGGUUUCCUUGAGUACGGUACAGGUGGGCGGAAUUCGUGGUGUAGCGGUGAAAUGCUUAGAUAUCAGGAAGAACUCCGAUCGCGAAGGCAGCUCACCGGGCCGGAACUGACACUGAUGCUCGAAAGUGCGGGUAUCAAACAGGAUUAGAUACCCUGGUAGUCCGCACAGUAAACGAUGAAUACUCGCUGUUUGCGAUACACGGUAAGCGGCCAAGCGAAAGCGUUAAGUAUUCCACCUGGGGAGUACGCCGGCAACGGUGAAACUCAAAGGAAUUGACGGGG